RNAcentral lists this long non-coding RNA (7376 nucleotides) under Sus scrofa (pig). Its description in RNAcentral is "lncRNA (ENSSSCG00055006624.1)". The record is from RNAcentral. Lineage: Eukaryota; Metazoa; Chordata; Mammalia; Artiodactyla; Suidae.
GGAGCGCAGUUUCCAAAGCAAGAUCACACACAGCGCUUUAGGCCCUGAGGGAAGGAAGGUGUGCAGGCACAGAAAGGGAAAUAGUGCAUUUUCCUCUUUCUUCUCCUUUGGCCCCUCCCUUCAUUACAUGCCAUCCUUUUGAAAGCUCAGCAUCUGAAAGAAGGCUUUGCUGAAACACUGCUUUUUCUUCAGCACCAGACUGUUUUUGUUUUUUCUUUUCUUCUUCUUUUUUUUUCCAUCUUCUUUUCCUCCGAGAGCAGGAGGUGAGACAAUGAUCAAGUCAAGCUGGUUCUAUGUGAAGUUCAAGUAUGCAGAGAAGGGCCCCACCUGUGGCAUAUGGAGGUGCCCAGGCUAGGGGUCCAAUUGGAGCUAUAGCUGCCAGCCUGCACCAGAGCCACAGCAAUGCCAGAUCUGAGCAGCAUCUGCGACCUACACCACAGCUUACAGCAACGCGGGAUCCUUAACCCACUGAGCAAGGCCAGCUCAAGCCAGGGCAGAACAGCUGCAGGGACAGCGACAGUGAAAGUGCCAGCGGAGAAUCCAAGGGCUUCCACAGGAGCAGCUCUCGGGAAAGACUCAGCGAUAGUUCAGCUCCUUCCAGCUUGGGAACAGGCUACUUCGUAAGUUUAUCUCAACUUUCACAUGUGUGCCUCGCUUUGGCAUUGAUUUACUUGUGUAAUGUAUGCUCAUUAGGAUGUGAAAAAAAAAAUCCAAAAAAUCCCCACUCGGUCCUAAAGAGCAGACUGAUGUCCAUCCUUUGACUAACAGUUGUUUUAUUUUAAAAAUGCACAACCUGCCUGGCUCUACGCAUCCCAGGUCCAUCUGAGAUGUGUGUCUGGUUCUCAACACCCAGCACUGUUGCGCCUUACCUGGCAGUGUGAGGGGGUACAGGAAAACCUGACUGGCUCGUACCUCCUUCCUACAAAAUUGUUUUGUUAGUGAGGAGUAUCCCGCGGGGGGAUGGAACUCAGUUAUGCAGUGAGGCCUAUUUAUUCACUUGAAGACCUUCCCCACAUGCCCAGUGAAUUGCCUUUUUAAUUUCGACGAGGGGUGGUGUUUUAAUGGAUGUUUUCCUUCACAGUCUGAGUAGGUGGCCUUUUGAUUUCUUUCAGCAAAUCAUUAAAACUCCUCUUUUUAGGAAAUAGAAAUGUUUAUUUCAAGACCAUAUUCUCUGUCAUUUGGGAAGAGUGUGGAUGGUGACAUAUCUCAGGGCUUAUGACAGUACUUCUCAUUUACAAAGAAGUGAUCACUGCCUUUCUUUUGUUUAUAGCUAAAUUGCCCUUGUUGGGCUCCAUAAUACUUUUCAGGGUAUAAGUAAAAAAGAAUUACACCUAGCCAUUAUUUACACAACAGGAUGAUAUGCCAGGGUAGACGUUUGUUGUGGUAUUUAAAGGCAUGUCAGGAAUUUAAAAGAAUCUGAUUUGUUCUGAAUGUUGAACAGUGAUAACUCUAAUGUCUACUCCUCAUUUUCUGAGAAAAUAAUGAAAAUAAAGCAGAAAGUAUUACUGAUUCGGUUUUAUUGCAUUUAAAUUUCUUCCCUCCAAAAUGCUCAUUACCCUGGUUUUCUUCUGCCCACACAUUUCUCUCCAUACAUUUAGGAUAAAUAUAUGAGCAUGAGCACCAUUUCAUUGAGUAAGUGUUUUCCAAACUUGGAAGAAGUGGCAUUUUCUAAAUGCUGAUUUUUUUUUGUCUUAAUCUAUGAUAUGAGGACAAAACGGAUAAAAAAAUUUUUUUGGUACCUGCCUCAUACAGUCAGCACUUAUCCUUGGUCCUUAUUGUGGUUGAAUAUUCAUGCUUACAGAAACAAGCAGGAUGCUGAAACAGGAUCCUGCUUCAGCAGUCGAAAUAACAGAAGUAGUCCCAUCUGCCAUCUCUUCACACCAGGCUGGAUGUGGGUUGAGAUGCUGGAAGUAAAAUCUGGAGACUGCCAAUGUUUAUUCUCUAUCCAAAAACGAAAUCCUCCCUUUUUGCUUUCUUCAGUAGAAGAAGGCCAGUGCUACUGACGUAGCCUUUCAUCAUUUCUAGAUGGAACAUUCUAAUUAUUUAUUGUCAGUAUGAGCACUCUGAAAGAAGAAAGUCACCCCGAAAAGCAUCAAGACUUUUAUUAUGCUUUCAGUCACUUAUUUUUCUCUCCAACUCCAGGAAUGUUUAUUUUGAUUCUCUAAUGAUGGAGUCUUAUGAAUAAAGAGUCUUUGCAAUUAUGGAUCUCAAAUAAUGUUUACUCUUACACAGUGUUGGAUGGGUAUAAAAGUUUUCUUAUUUUGGAAAAAUUAUUCUUAAUAUUUCUUUCCUUAUAUAUUAAAAAAAAUCUAGAGUAUUAUAGCUUACAUGGAGAAGAUAUGCACCAGAUGUAUGUUCUGCUCUGAACUAUGACAAAAAUGUUCUACUUAGAAUGUGUUUUCAAUAACAGAGAUUAUUAUGUUAUCAGAGUGCACAAUCCAUUGAUAUUAUUGCCAAGUCCUCAUCAAAAAGUGUCUUCUGUUUCAGUUUUCAUCUCACCAGUAUCACAUGUAAUGCUUAAUUUCAGGUACUAACUUCAGCAUUGGUGAGUUUCACACUUCUAAGUAGAAAUAGUAGGUUCACAACUUUUAGUCGUUUUAUACUGACAUGUUCUCUGCACUGGGGUCUCUGAUCUGUGAUGUCAUAAUAACCUUUCCUUGAGUCUGUAAUGAAGGCUUAGCAUCAGGUAAGUGGUGGUGAUAUUUUGACUUUAUCCUUAAUCCUCUUCAGCAUCUCUUUGAAGUAUGGACGGAGGCAAAUCACCUGCAGAGUCAAUGAGCUACCAGUGCAGUGGAACCAUAAUGUGAAUUCUGGUGUAAGGAAACAGAAGGCACUCACUCGCCUUUCUUUUGAGUUUAACAACCCGGAACUGUUUUCCUAAAUACUCUCCCAUACCGCAACAUUACUAUACCUUUGAAGUUUUCUUUCCUUCAGACCAUAUGCUCCUUUAGAGCUUUUAGUGAACCAAGGUAAAAUGCUGAUCAUCGUGAGCUAAUAAAAUAGAUGCCCAGCUAUGUUCACAAGCAUGUGUGCAUGCACACUCAUACGUAGACGUGUGUGUACCUUAGCCACAGCCAGUAUAUUUUACUUUCUUGCAUUUCUUUUCAUUGAUCAGUAGUGGUAAGUUAAAGGGUUUGAAGAAGAAGUCUUUGUUUUUGAUUUAGUUGUAUUUGUUUAUAUCUCCUUGGUUUUGUGUUCCAAAGAUGUCUGCUUAGGUCUGUCACUUUUCCAAUCCAUUUAUAAGCUGAAGAUUUGAGAAAUGAGAACAGCAGCUAAAAUCAGUAUUUACAUAAGCAUAUUGCAAAGCAUUCUUAAAGUAGACAAAAUAGAGAAGGAUUGGAACAAACUUUUCACAUUUUUGUGAGCUCAUGAAUAAUGUGGGUGUUAUACACACAGAGAGACACAUAUAUAUUCAUUACAUUCUCAUGCCCAGCUCAUAUUCUAAAUAUAAAUGAAAGUAUAGACUGGUUGGAAUCUAUUUGCUUUUUAAUUUUUUUUGGCAAGCAUGCCAGAACUUGUUGGAGUGUGUAGGAUUUUCUUUUUUUUUUUUAAGCAUUAAUGCAGUGAGCACGUUUUCUUUUCAUUUUAAAUGUUUUGGGCUAGAUUAUCUUCUUUUACAUGCAUUUGAAGUUUUUCUUAUGCGUAGUAUAUAAUUUCAAGCUUGGAAUCAUCUGAAAACUACUUGUGUGACCUUGGGUCAUGUCUUCGAGAUCUCUGAGUCGGUUUCCUCAUCUCUCCCUACCUAAUAGAUGUGUGAAUUUUCAGUGAGAUAUUUAGUGCACACAGAACAUCUCUCAAUAAUAACAAAUAAUGUUCGCUUCUGUUAUUCCCGCUGUAGUAUGUGAUGGCAUAAAAUUGCCCUCAUUACGUGGUUAUGCGAUGUUUUGGUGAUAGAAGAUAACCACUAGAAACUCAUGAUAUAAAGUAAAUUUUGUAAUUUGUACCUAUAGGUUAGAAAUAUUUUCUUCUCAUUGCAGUCUUCUCAUUGCCAACUCAGGAGCCUAGGAUUUUGUGUCUGUUCAGCUGUAUACCAGUUUGCUCCAUAUAUGAACAUAAAACAAAGAUGGAAUGCUUUUUCUGUGGUCCUUUUUGAUCAUGAUGCGGUUGGACUGAACUACCCUAGAAGCUGUCCACAUAUUAUGGUGUUUCAUUUGUCUCUUAAAGUUAUUUGUUAAUUUUCUACCUUAGACUGAGGCAUUUAAAUAAAGCCUGCCGAUAGCUCUGGGCUUUGGUCUGAGAAGUUAAGAAAGACUUGUUCCACAUAUUCAGGUUUAUGAAAUUAUGUCCCAUGUUUGCUGAUCUCUGUCACCACAAAGAAAAGUGGCUGCACCAGCAUACCUGAAUGAGGUAACUGAAAGCAGUGGUGUGAAAAGACCAGUGAAAACAUUUCAGGGUUGCCAGUGGGCUAGUGUGUCAUCACAGGAAAGAUCUGGACUCUUUCUUUCUAAGCACUUGAUUCCUUAUGCCGGUAGUUGGGAGCUGUCGUUGGUAUAGCAGGAAGUUACUUGUCAGACUGAACCCGAUCCUCUCUAUUCCUUUAUUUAGUGACAUGUCCUGCCUGCUUCACAAUAACUUUCAGCCUUCUUCCCAUUUUGAAUUUAAGUGUCUCAGGCACAUUACCUCAAACAGCUUGGAUAUACUUUUGUAAACUCCAGUGAUCCAGAGUUUUUUCUUAAUGGUUCUCAACUAAUAUUUUUCAUUCUCCUUUGUUAGACCCUAUCUGGCAACAUACAGUCUUUGAUUAUCAAGCAAACCAACCCAUUUCUACCUAACAAUUUAAAAAAACUACCACGUUUUAUAAUAAAGGAGCAUUUUGUAGCGGUACACAUCUUAAACGGGAUUUGUGUUAUCACUGUUGUCCUGUGCAGUUGAACUACUUGAGAAAUUGGGUUGGUAAUGCUAGUCACAGGCAAGAGGUACAAAAUAUUGACCUGUGGUUUUCCAUCCAAAGUUAUAAGGUCGUAUAAGGAAUAAAUUCUUUGCCGUAAAUUUUUCUUUUUUUUUAACAUAAACCCUGUUAAGUUGUGUAACUCUCAAAACUUAUUGUGGUAUUUUAUGACCAUAGUUUCUUCUUUUUAAAAUCUCAGAGUGAAUUUUACUGUUAGGUAAGAGUGGACUGAGUUUCUUUGAAAAGAUCAGACUUUAAAAAAAAUUGUUUACUUGACAUUCCCGUCUUGGCUGAGUGGUUAAUGAUCCCGGCUAGCAUCCAUAAGGAUGCGGGUUCGAUCCUUGGCCUUGCUCAGUGGGUUAAUGAUCCGGCGUUGCCGUGAGAUGUGGUGUAGGUUGCAGACGUGGCUCAGAUCCUGCAUUGAGUGGCUCUGGCGUGGGCUACAGCUCUGAUUAGACCCCUAGCCUGGGAACCUCCAUAUGCCGCGGGUAUGGCCCUAAAAGACAAAAAGACAAUACCAACAAAAAAAUUGUUUACUUAAUAGACUGGGCUUUUCUUUAAACAGGCAGGUUUUUUUUGUUUUGUUUUGUUUUGUUUUGUUUUGGUCUUUCAGUAAAUAUUUUAAGCACCAUCUCUGUCAGGCACUAUUCUGGGUGAUGGGUUAUGGAAGUAAAAAGCGGUGGCUCCUCUCCGAAGGAAUUUAGUUUUCCCUAAACCCAGAUCCUUUCCUUUGUGAUACUUUUACAUACUUUCCCCUAGUGUUUAAAUGAGAGGUUUGGGGCUGUAGAUUCCCAGUGUUACCUUGGAACCUGACAUUCUUAGACUUUAUAAUGUUUCUGUGGGUUUGAACUUUAAAAAGUGCCAAUACAGCAACCUGGCCUUGGCUGCAGCCCCACCCGAAGUAGUCUUACUCCUCACCUGCCUGUACCUGCGAAGGAUGAUGGGAGGGCAUUUUGUCACUCAGGUAUUUAUUCCUAACUUUUGAGUGUUCAUACUUAAAAUAAAUAACCCUGGGUAUUUUUCACAUGUCCCUCAAAUAAGACUCCAACAUUUGUAUUAGUAAUUAACUCUGAGUAAGGGAGUUAUUGGCCCUUAUUUAAUUACUGACAAGCUCCUAUUUUAAUGGACAUUUUUAAAAGCUGAAUUUCAUUAGUCAUCUCCAGUCAUAAUUGGGGCUUUUGGACCCACUGGUAAAGAUUAAGUUAGAAAAGAGCUCACCAGAUGGGAUAUUCAAUUCACUUUAAUUGUCAAGUGUGUGUUAAAGAUCUAUUCUUAGUUCUUAAGAUAAAUAAGAUGUAAGCUUGGCCCUCAAAUCCUGGAUAUGUAGUUGAAUUUGAUACAAAGGAAAUUGAUCAGGUCAAGAGAAAUGUGAGAACCUGGCACUAUGUAUUAGGGUCAAUUCAUUGUAGGAGGCUUAAAUUGUGCAGAACUUGAUGGAUGUUUAGAUUUGCAACAGAUAAAGAAAAGGUGGAACGAAGUUUGAGGCAGAGGGAGCAACAGAGACAAAAGCACAGAGAAACAGCAUCAUCAUGUGGAAUUGGUUUGACUGUAUCAUGUUUUUUGGAAAAAAGCCAGACUUAGGUAGGUUAUUUACUGGGAAUGUGGAACAAAGCCAGGGAAGGAGUUGAGUGAGUGGGAAGGAGACGGUUUAUAGAGAGACCUGAACUUGAUUUAGUGAACUAUUAAAAAUCAUAAAGGUGUCACACCACGUACUGAUGGCUGUGCUGCUCCUCUACUUGGAAUAGGAAUGCCGGGAAGAAGAGAUUCUAUUUUAGGAAGAUACGGAGUUUAGAAGUUAGCGUAGGUAGUUAGAAAUUUCAUCUCUCAUCAGUGAUAGUUUCAAGAGGUGGCCAAAAUAACAGCAGGAACAAAACAUUGCCAACCAAAUUUAGAUUUACAUAAAAACAUACAAAAAAGUUCGCUUGCGAGAACUUUUAAUAUGUCCUGAAAAUUCAGCUGUGUGCUUGUCACAAGAUGUCUUUGUGAUGUGGUUGUACAUGUAAUUUCCCUAAGCGACCCCUAGCAGUGACCUAGUCAAUCACCUAAGCAGAUUUAAAGCAGCCUCAGAGGUACCCUGUGCCCAAAGUUAGCACAUUACUAAAAUGGUUUAUUAUAUAGUAUUUAAUAUAAAAUUUUUAAGGACUGUGUUGUUUUCAUCAUCAUAAUAAAACAAAAACCUCGGAGCCCAUCACUCAACUUAAAAUCUAGGAUGUUGCUGGAGUUCCAGUUGUGGCUUAGUAGGUUAAGAACCUGACUAAUAUCCACAAGGAUGUGGGUUCAAUCCCUGGCCUCAUGCAGUGAGUUAAGGAUCUGGCUUUGCUGUGAGCUAUGGCGUAGGUUGCAGUUGUGGCUUGGAUCCCUUUUUGCCAUGGCUGUGGCGUGGACUUGCAGCUACAACUUACAUUUGAUCCCUAGCCUGGGAACUUUCAUAUGCUGAAGGUGCAGCCCUAAAAGGGAAAAAAAAAAAAAAAAAAAAAAAAAAAAAAAA